Long non-coding RNA from Bradysia coprophila, 280 nucleotides. RefSeq lists it as uncharacterized. The record is from RefSeq and is a predicted model, not a curated record. Lineage: Eukaryota; Metazoa; Arthropoda; Insecta; Diptera; Sciaridae.
ACGCCUGCCAAAAAGGUACUGAUGGUGAUACAACAUGUACGUGGCAGUGUGCAUACUAUCAAAAUUAUUUUGGUGUAGGUGUUUGUGGCUCAGAUUCAUUUUGUUAUUGCAAACUCAAAGUUAAUGUCAAUCCUGAUAUUAGACAAGAAAUGGUUGUUGCUCUAUGUACUAUAGACAACAAUCGUGACUACGUAUGUAAUUCGAAGUGUUUGACUAUUCCCAUUUUUAAGUCCGGUUAUUGUGGAACAGAUUUUAAGUGCUAUUGCCUUAGGAAAUAAAA